RNAcentral lists this unclassified non-coding RNA (248 nucleotides) under plant metagenome. RNAcentral's name for it is "partial contains small subunit ribosomal RNA and internal transcribed spacer 1". The record is from RNAcentral.
AAGUCGUAACAAGGUCUCCGUAGGGUAUGUCAACCAGUCCACGCUCAACCGUUAUUGUACGUACUAACUCUUUUCCAGUGAACCUGCGGAGGGAUCAUUACCGAGUGAGGGCCUCCGGGCUCGACCUCCAACCCUUGUUGUUACAAUCUCUGUUGCCUUGGGGGCGACCCGGCCACCGCGUCGGAGCCCCACGUGGAUCAAUCAAACACUGCGUCUCUGCGUCUGAGUCAUAAGUAAAUCAAUUAAAA